This 1101-nucleotide long non-coding RNA is filed under the name Mustela putorius furo (domestic ferret). RNAcentral's name for it is "lncRNA (ENSMPUG00000025014.1)". The record is from RNAcentral. Lineage: Eukaryota; Metazoa; Chordata; Mammalia; Carnivora; Mustelidae.
UGUGCCCAUACUAAGCACUGAGGAUACAUGGAAAAUGGAAACUAUUAAAGUAUUUUCAAAGUUGUACUGUAUCACGCUGCUCAAGAAAAUGUAUACAGUUCCUACCUUCCUGGGACUGGGAGUCUUUUGGAGGAAAAUCAACAAUAGGCAUAACAAGGAACAUAAUUACAGGUCAAAGCAAAAGCCAGGAAGGAAAGAAUAGGGGAUGGAUAUAGAGUAAUAGUGAGUCCCUACUUGAAAGAUGGUGUUAGGGACAAAACUACUCUGAGGGGGUGACAUCUGUGCUGAGAUCCCUAUGACAAGUGUAGGGUUACGUGAAUGCUUUGGGACAGAGGGAACAGUGGGUUCCGAGACUGAAAAGAGCUUGACUCAUUCCCAGAACUGAAGGGAGCCUGGCUGGGGCAGGAGGCGGGGGGAGUAGAGAGAGCCCCGGGGAGGUGACUGCAGCAUUUAGAUGACACAAUAAUGUGAACUGAGAGUGUGGUGUCCAGCUGGAAAGAAGUCCAUUCAACAACAAAAAAAAUUUUGAGGUACAGGAGACAGAAUUUACUGAUGAAUCGAAAAUGGACUUUGAAGACCAAUGGCUAGAAUGAUCCGAGACUGAGCUGGAAUGGCAGGCCCUGAAUGGCCAUAGGAAAGGAUGCAGCAGAAUGGGACCUGGAAGUGAGCCCACAGCAAGGACUGGAAAGACUACAGCUGUAUUUGAUUCCACGAUGACAAGAGAACAUAACAGAACUCCCGUGAAGAAACACCCCUGCCUUCAAGAGUCAUAAAUAUCGGGGACGAACAGCAGUGUCUGUGAGAAUUCGAUUGGGGCAAGGAUGCUUUUCUAGAAUAUCCCAAUCUUUAAAGGAGAACAAGGACCAAACCACAGACAACUUUGGAGACAAGAUCCGCCGUGUUGUCAGCCAGCCACGCCGCGUCCAGUGUCCGACAACAGGGAAACACCAGGACUAUUGGUCACACCACAAGAAGUGCAUAUCUGGGGACAGAGGUCGCUCAUACCAUAUGGCAAGACGAGCUGCCCUUGUCACUUUUUACCCGUGGUGGCAGAUGUACUGGGAACCGUCUUCCCAGAAAAGCGCACAAUGUGAAAGAUAA